GUGGGGAAUCUUCCGCAAUGGACGAAAGUCUGACGGAGCAACGCCGCGUGAGUGAAGAAGGUUUUCGGAUCGUAAAGCUCUUUCGUUAGGGACGAACGUGCUCUUUGUGAAUAAUGAGGAGUAAUGACGGUACCUGACGAGGAAGCCACGGCUAACUACGUGCCAGCAGCCGCGGUAAUACGUAGGUGGCAAGCGUUGUCCGGAAUUAUUGGGCGUAAAGCGCGCGCAGGCGGGAUAUCAAGUCUGUCUUAAAAGUGCGAGGCUCAACCUCGUGAGGGGACAGAAACUGGUAUUCUUGAGUGUCGGAGAGGAAAGUGGAAUUCCAAGUGUAGCGGUGAAAUGCGUAGAGAUUUGGAAGAACACCAGUGGCGAAGGCGACUUUCUGGACGAUGUCUGACGCUGAGGCGCGAAAGCUAGGGGAGCGAACGGGAUUAGAAACCCUGGUAGUCC
RNAcentral lists this ribosomal RNA (450 nucleotides) under uncultured bacterium. RNAcentral describes it as "partial 16S ribosomal RNA". It matches the Rfam family "Bacterial small subunit ribosomal RNA", at positions 354 to 796 of the family's 1533-position model. The record is from RNAcentral.